GACGAACGCUGGCGGCGUGCUUAACACAUGCAAGUCGAACGGAAAGGCCCUGCUUUUGUGGGGUGCUCGAGUGGCGAACGGGUGAGUAACACGUGAGUAACCUGCCCUUGACUUUGGGAUAACUUCAGGAAACUGGGGCUAAUACCGGAUAGGAGCUCCUGCUGCAUGGUGGGGGUUGGAAAGUUUCGGCGGUUGGGGAUGGACGGGCGGCUUAUCAGCUUGUUGGUGGGGUAGUGGCUUACCAAGGCUUUGACGGGUAGCCGGCCUGUGAGGGUGACCGGCCACAUUGGGACUGAGGUACGGCCCAGACUCCUACGGGAGGCAGCAGUGGGGAAUAUUGCACAAUGGGCGGAAGCCGGAUGCAGCAACGCCGCGUGCGGGAUGACGGCCUUCGGGUUGUAAACCGCUUUCGCCUGUGACGAAGCGUGAGUGAUGGUAAUGGGUAAAGAAGCACCGGCUAACUACGUG
Molecule: ribosomal RNA, 468 nt
Filed under: uncultured bacterium
Lineage: Bacteria
Description: partial 16S ribosomal RNA
Rfam family: Bacterial small subunit ribosomal RNA
Source: RNAcentral